GCCGCGAUAGCUCAGUGGUAGAGCACUUCCAUGGUAAGGAAGGGGUCUUGAGUUCAAAUCUCAAUCGUGGCUCCA
RNAcentral lists this transfer RNA (75 nucleotides) under Candidatus Saccharimonadota bacterium. RNAcentral describes it as "tRNA-Thr". It matches the Rfam family "tRNA". Rfam says of the family: Transfer RNA (tRNA) molecules are approximately 80 nucleotides in length. Lineage: Bacteria; Candidatus Saccharimonadota. The record is from RNAcentral.